UACGAAGGGGGCUAGCGUUGUUCGGAUUUACUGGGCGUAAAGCGCACGUAGGCGGAUCUUUAAGUCAGAGGUGAAAUCCCCAAGGCUCAACCUUGGAACUGCCUUUGAUACUGGGGAUCUUGAGUCCGGGAGAGGUGAGUGGAACUGCGAGUGUAGAGGUGAAAUUCGUAGAUAUUCGCAAGAACACCAGUGGCGAAGGCGGCUCACUGGCCCGGUACUGACGCUGAGGCGCGAAAGCGUGGGGAGCAAACAGG
This 254-nucleotide ribosomal RNA is filed under the name uncultured bacterium. RNAcentral's name for it is "partial 16S ribosomal RNA". It matches the Rfam family "Bacterial small subunit ribosomal RNA", at positions 524 to 776 of the family's 1533-position model. The record is from RNAcentral.